GACGAACGCUGGCGGCGUGCCUAAUACAUGCAAGUUGAGCGCUGAAGGCUGGUACUUGUACCAUCUGGAUGAGCAGCGCACGGGUGAGUAACGCGUGGGGAAUCUGCCUUUGAGCGGGGGACAACAUUGGGAAACGAAUGCUAAUACCGCAUAAAAACUUUAAACACAAGUUUUAAGUUUGAAAGAUGCAAUUGCAUCACUCAAAGAUGAUCCCGCGUUGUAUUAGCUAGUUGGUGAGGUACAGGCUCACCAAGGCGAGGAUACAUAGCCGACCUGAGAGGGUGGUCGGCCGCACUGGGACGGUGACACGGCCCAAACUCCUACGGGAGGCAGCAGUAGGGAAUCUUCGGCAAUGGGCGAAAGUCUGACCGAGCAACGCCGCGUGAGUGAGGAAGGUCUUCGGGUCGUAAAACUCUGUUGGUAGAGAAGAACGUUGGUGAGAGUGGAAAGCUCAGCAAGUGACGGUAACUACCCAGAAAGGGACGGCUAACUACGUG
RNAcentral lists this ribosomal RNA (497 nucleotides) under uncultured bacterium. RNAcentral describes it as "partial 16S ribosomal RNA". It matches the Rfam family "Bacterial small subunit ribosomal RNA", at positions 28 to 507 of the family's 1533-position model. The record is from RNAcentral.